Molecule: long non-coding RNA, 1164 nt
Organism: Nematostella vectensis (starlet sea anemone)
Lineage: Eukaryota; Metazoa; Cnidaria; Anthozoa; Actiniaria; Edwardsiidae
Exons: 2
Source: RefSeq, a predicted model, not a curated record
UUUAGCUAACUCUUGCAAGCACAAAGAAACAGGCUGUCAUCGUUGCAAGAUAAAGGGUAAUCUAAAAGCGGCUUGUUUAUCUUCAUCAUCAAAAACAGGUCCUAGGAGACAUCAACGAGGUCAAAGAAAUUCAUUUGCUAAGGGUCAACAUAAAGUUAGCGUGCAGGGCGAGCACGAGAAGGUACCUCAAAGAGAUUCAGACAAAAACUGUUUUUCCGUCAUGUCAGGCAGGAGCAUGAUAAGGUAUUCAAAACAAUAAAGCAGCUCUGGCGUCUGACACUACAAUAGUGCACUACAAUCCUAACCGCCCACUGAUCCUCGAGAGAAAGAAGUCGAACCUGGGGUGCUGAAACCAGUACCCUUCGCCUCGAGAACAUUGUCAUUUCACGAAAAACAUGUGAUAGAAUCUCAAUCAAACUUCAACUUACAGGUACGUCUCGUUUAAUUUUCCAAUUUUCCUGUAAAGUUAGCUUGGUGUUUAUUUGCAAGAACUCGAACUUUAUGGUACUAUCCCCUCUUAAGUGGGGAGGAGUGUAGUAAAUCGGGCGAGAUUGGCACUAGUUCUAGUAAUUAUAGUUACGCAAUCUUGCAUAUCAAAUUAGUCUUAGUUCGGUAGCCAUAUUGUAUGCGUGUUUUGUUCACUGUCUUAAGAAAAAGGCUUAUAUAUUGCAGUGACAAGGCGAGAAACAGACGACGCAAUAACUAACAAAGAUCUACCAAUUCACUGUCUCUUAUCUGAUCGAGAAGACACGAGCAGAUCACAUGAGCUGUUGUCAGAAGAAAAGGGUUAUAAUUACUUAUCUAAUAAUUUUCUAUAUUAUCAUUUAUACACGAGUAGUUUGAGUUUGGAAUCUUGUAGUGUCAUAUCAACCGUCUCUAGAAUAAGCCACCCAUAAUAUAAUAAAACAGCAGAUUUGAGUUGGUUUGUAAGAUAGGAUUGGGCAGCGGAUUCCCUCCACAGAAGAGUCAACUGUGCAACUAAUCAGCGGUGUUACUAAGGUAACUUUCUCCUUAUCCUUUGAGGUUUGGUCUGUAAGAAUGUCAAAUUCUUUUUGAUCAACAGAACCAAUAGACAUUGGUGAGAUGCAAAAACUUUAAUUGCUAGAUAGGCUGAAAGCAGUUGUUAGCAGUGAUUAAAAAUCGAGGUCGAGGGGAGAAAUCGUA